UACGUAGGUGGCAAGCGUUGUCCGGAUUUAUUGGGUUUAAAGGGUGCGUAGGCGGUUUUUUAAGUCAGUGGUGAAAUACGGCAGCUUAACUGCCGAGGUGCCAUUGAUACUGGGAAACUUGAGUGCUGAUGAGGUAGGCGGAAUGGACGGUGUAGCGGUGAAAUGCUUAGAGAUCGUCCAGAACGCCGAUAGCGAAGGCAGCUUACUAAGGAGUAACUGACGCUGAGGCACGAAAGUGUGGGGAUCAAACAGG
Molecule: ribosomal RNA, 253 nt
Filed under: uncultured bacterium
Lineage: Bacteria
Description: partial 16S ribosomal RNA
Rfam family: Bacterial small subunit ribosomal RNA
Source: RNAcentral